RNAcentral lists this long non-coding RNA (1231 nucleotides) under Homo sapiens (human). Its description in RNAcentral is "non-protein coding lnc-TMEM253-3:1". The record is from RNAcentral. Lineage: Eukaryota; Metazoa; Chordata; Mammalia; Primates; Hominidae.
UGUCAAAAAGACCAUCUUAUGCCUCACCUCCCAGCCCAGCUCCUGCAACACAAAUGCCCAGCACAUCAGGGUUUGUGGGAUACAAUCCAUACAGUCAUCUCACCUACAACAACUACAGGCUGGGAGGGAACCCGGGCACCAACAGCCGGGUCAUGGCAUCCUCUGGUAUUAUGAUUCCAAAACCACCAAAACCAUCAGAUAAGCUGCUGAUGCCCUACAUGAGGUACAGCCGAAAGGUCUGGGACCAAGUCAAGGCUUCCAACCCUGACCUAAAGUUGUGGGAGAUUGGCAAGAUUAUUUGAUGGCACGUGGCAAGAUCUCACUGAUGAAGAAAAACAAGAAUAUUUAAACGAAUACAAAGCAGAAAAGAUAGAGUACAAUGAAUAUAUGAAGUCCUAUCAUAAUUCUCCCAUGUACCUUGCUUACAUAAAUGCAAAAAGUUGUGCAGAAGCUGCUUUAGAGAAAGAAAGUCGACAGAGACAGUCUUGCAUAGAGAAAGGAGAACCUUACAUGAGCAUUCAGCGUGAUGAAGAUCCAGAUGAUUGUGAUGAUGGCAUUUCAGUGAAGCAAGCAUACAGCCACUGCCUGUUUCCAGAGAAACCACAGCCUCAUCAAUGAAAUCCUUAGUGACAGUGUGGUGCCAGACAUUCAGUCAGCUGUCACAACAGCUAGAAUGCAGGUCCUCAAACAACAGGUCCAGUCCUUAAUGGUUCAUCAGCAAAAACUAGAAGCUGAACUUCUUCAAAUAGAGGAACGAUACCCGAAGACGAGGAAAUUCCUGGAAAGCACAGAAUCAUUUAGCAAUAACUUAAAAGUUUGUGUGGUCUGAAGGUAGAAGUGGAUAUGGAGAAAAUUGCAGCUGAGAUUGCACAGGCAGAGGAACAGACCCACAAAAGGCAGGAGGAAAGGGAGAGGGAGGUGGCAGACCAAGCUAAGCGCAGUCAGAGCGGCAUCGUUCCUGAGCAAGAGCACGCGGCCAACUAAGGUGAGGAGAAGAAAGACGACGAGAACAUUCCAAUGGAGACAGGGGAGACACACCUUGAAGAAAUGACAGAGAGCCAACAGAACAGUGAAGAAGGCACAUCUACUCCUUAAGACAAGGAGAGUGGGCAGGAGGGGAUUGACAGUAUGGCAGAGGAAGGAACCAGUGAUAGUAACACUGGCUCGGAGAGCAACAGCCCAACAGUGGAGGAGUCACCAACAGAUCCCAUACCAGAAGAUGAGAAAAAAG